This 347-nucleotide transfer-messenger RNA is filed under the name Sphingomonas sp. It matches the Rfam family "Alphaproteobacteria transfer-messenger RNA". Rfam says of the family: Bacterial tmRNA, also known as 10Sa RNA or SsrA, is named for its dual tRNA and mRNA-like properties. Its role is to liberate the mRNA from a stalled ribosome. Lineage: Bacteria; Pseudomonadati; Pseudomonadota; Alphaproteobacteria; Sphingomonadales; Sphingomonadaceae. The record is from RNAcentral.
GGGCUUUUCAUUAUGUUUACAGCGCCUAUAUUGGCCCUGCCGCCGGUUCGCCGUCGGCUAUGGUGAUAAAUUGCGGCGUGCAAUAGAUGCAGCGGACCCGGGGGCAGUACCCGGCGACUCCACCACAACCGGCCCUUCGGGACCGGUCAUGACGGGGUCGAACCAGGAUCGACGUGUAUUGAAAAGCGCUGUUUUUGCCCGGGCUGAGUAACCUGCAAAAGGCUCAAAACCACAAGUGCUAACGACAACGAAGCACUCGCGAUUGCCGCGUAAACCGGACCUAACGGUCUAGUUUACUAAGGACGAAAGCGCGGUCCGGGCCGCACCGGGCAACAGAAGCGGACACC